Long non-coding RNA from Gallus gallus (chicken), 333 nucleotides. NCBI's taxonomy places the organism in Eukaryota, Metazoa, Chordata, Aves, Galliformes, Phasianidae. The record is from Ensembl.
CACUUUUCUGUCAAAGACCUCACAAAAGCUUUCUUAGUUUACUUUUUUUUUCCCCUGAAGCUUCUAUUGCUCUGUACAUUUUGGAUUCAGAAAAUUACUUUGAGCAGUUGGUAUAAUUACACUGGUUCAAUCUUGCAUGAUUCUUCUUGAUUGUACAUGUGGAUGACUGAAUCUGCAACACUUUCAAGCUGUGUUUUUCAAGGACGGAGCCAUAAUGCAUAUUUACACAUUGAUUGCAACUUACUUCAGUGACAAAAGAUUAUUUACACAGAUCUCAGUUCAGUUCUGCUGGGAUAUCACUUACACAAUGUUUGUCAAGGGAAACACGGGGAG